Molecule: transfer RNA, 73 nt
Filed under: Camelus bactrianus (Bactrian camel)
Lineage: Eukaryota; Metazoa; Chordata; Mammalia; Artiodactyla; Camelidae
Also listed under: 2 other names
Rfam family: tRNA
About the family: Transfer RNA (tRNA) molecules are approximately 80 nucleotides in length. Their secondary structure includes four short double-helical elements and three loops (D, anti-codon, and T loops). Further hydrogen bonds mediate the characteristic L-shaped molecular structure. tRNAs have two regions of fundamental functional importance: the anti-codon, which is responsible for specific mRNA codon recognition, and the 3' end, to which the tRNAs corresponding amino acid is attached (by aminoacyl-tRNA synthetases). tRNAs cope with the degeneracy of the genetic code in two manners: having more than one tRNA (with a specific anti-codon) for a particular amino acid; and 'wobble' base-pairing, i.e. permitting non-standard base-pairing at the 3rd anti-codon position.
Source: Rfam by way of RNAcentral
GAGGGAACGGCUCAAGUGGCAGAGCACAUGCUUAGCAAGCAUGAGGUCCUGGGUUCAGUCCCCAGUACCUCCU